CGAGCGGAGCGAGAGAACGUUGCGUCAGCAACGGCCCGAAGGGCGAGCCACGUAGUGGCGAGUUAUCCUCUAUCACCGACCA
This 82-nucleotide small RNA is filed under the name Klebsiella michiganensis. RNAcentral describes it as "partial RtT sRNA". It matches the Rfam family "RtT RNA", at positions 49 to 130 of the family's 130-position model. From Rfam's summary of the family: This family represents a bacterial cis-regulatory element known as RtT RNA. The exact function of RtT is unknown although it is thought that it may be involved in changing the cellular response in relation to amino acid starvation. Lineage: Bacteria; Pseudomonadati; Pseudomonadota; Gammaproteobacteria; Enterobacterales; Enterobacteriaceae. The record is from RNAcentral.